RNAcentral lists this transfer RNA (72 nucleotides) under Kitasatospora gansuensis. RNAcentral's name for it is "tRNA-Asp". It matches the Rfam family "tRNA". From Rfam's summary of the family: Transfer RNA (tRNA) molecules are approximately 80 nucleotides in length. Their secondary structure includes four short double-helical elements and three loops (D, anti-codon, and T loops). The record is from RNAcentral. Lineage: Bacteria; Bacillati; Actinomycetota; Actinomycetes; Kitasatosporales; Streptomycetaceae.
GGUCCCGUAGCGCAGAGGCAGGCGCACUGCCUCAUCAGGGCAGACACGCCGGUUCGAAUCCGGCCGGGACCA